Molecule: ribosomal RNA, 459 nt
Filed under: uncultured bacterium
Lineage: Bacteria
Description: partial 16S ribosomal RNA
Rfam family: Bacterial small subunit ribosomal RNA
Source: RNAcentral
CCUACGGGUGGCAGCAGUGAGGAAUAUUGGUCAAUGGGCGCGAGCCUGAACCAGCCAAGCCGCGUGAGGGAAGACGGUCCUGCGGAUCGUAAACCUCUUUUGUCAGGGAGCAAAGGCGGCGACGAGUCGCAGGCUGAGGGUACCUGAAGAAAAAGCAUCGGCUAACUCCGUGCCAGCAGCCGCGGUAAUACGGAGGAUGCGAGCGUUAUCCGGAUUUAUUGGGUUUAAAGGGUGCGCAGGCGGCAGGUCAAGUCAGCGGUAAAAGCGCGGGGCUCAACCUCGUCGCGCCGUUGAAACUGGGUGGCUGGAGUGGGUGAGAGGGACGUGGAAUGCGAGGUGUAGCGGUGAAAUGCAUAGAUAUCGCGCAGAACACCGAUUGCGAAGGCAGCAUACCGGCGCCCAACUGACGCUCAUGCACGAAAGCGUGGGUAUCGAACAGGAUUAGAUACCCGAGUAGUC